GGGCCUAUAGCUCAGCUGGUUAGAGCGCACGCCUGAUAAGCGUGAGGUCGAUGGUUCGAGUCCAUUUAGGCCCAGCA
This 77-nucleotide transfer RNA is filed under the name Bacillus thuringiensis. RNAcentral's name for it is "tRNA-Ile". It matches the Rfam family "tRNA". Rfam says of the family: Transfer RNA (tRNA) molecules are approximately 80 nucleotides in length. Their secondary structure includes four short double-helical elements and three loops (D, anti-codon, and T loops). Lineage: Bacteria; Bacillati; Bacillota; Bacilli; Caryophanales; Bacillaceae. The record is from RNAcentral.